This 253-nucleotide ribosomal RNA is filed under the name uncultured bacterium. Its description in RNAcentral is "partial 16S ribosomal RNA". It matches the Rfam family "Bacterial small subunit ribosomal RNA", at positions 524 to 776 of the family's 1533-position model. The record is from RNAcentral.
UACAGAGGUCUCAAGCGUUGUUCGGAUUCAUUGGGCGUAAAGGGUGCGUAGGCGGCGCGGUAAGUCGGGUGUGAAAUCUUGGAGCUUAACUCCGAAACUGCAUUCGAUACUGCCGUGCUUGAGGACUGGAGAGGAGACUGGAAUUUACGGUGUAGCGGUGAAAUGCGCAGAUAUCAGGAAGAACACCCGUGGCUAAGGCGGUUCUCUAGUACGGUACUGACGCUGAGACGCGAAAGCGUGGGGAGCGAACAGG